This 307-nucleotide ribosomal RNA is filed under the name Neilonella subovata. RNAcentral describes it as "eukaryotic LSU rRNA". It matches the Rfam family "Eukaryotic large subunit ribosomal RNA", at positions 666 to 946 of the family's 3401-position model. The record is from RNAcentral. Lineage: Eukaryota; Metazoa; Mollusca; Bivalvia; Nuculanida sp.; Neilonellidae.
CCAAGGAGUCUGACAUGUGCGCGAGUCAUGGGGUUCUACGAAACCUAAAGGCACAAUGAAAGUGAAGGCCGCCUCCGGUUGGCCCAGGUAGGAUCCGUCGACCCGUCGGCGGCGCACUACCGGCCCGUUCCGUCCGCGCUGUCGGUGGAGCGGAGCAAGAGCGUACACGUUGGGACCCGAAAGAUGGUGAACUAUGCCUGAGUAGGACGAAGCCAGAGGAAACUCUGGUGGAGGUCCGUAGCGAUUCUGACGUGCAAAUCGAUCGUCAAACUUGGGUAUAGGGGCGAAAGACUAAUCGAACCAUCUA